Molecule: long non-coding RNA, 217 nt
Filed under: Mytilus galloprovincialis (Mediterranean mussel)
Lineage: Eukaryota; Metazoa; Mollusca; Bivalvia; Mytilida; Mytilidae
Source: RNAcentral
UAUUACUAGAUUUAUUUCACUUGACUGGGCGGGGUUUAAGAAGUUCACUUAUUUAAGACCAGCCCAACUUUAGACAGGAGUUUUGGGAUAAACUCAUCAAUGAAGUGUCCAGUUAUUCGUCCCAUAUCAUACACUCAGUUCUUUUGUAUAUGCGUUUGGUGACACUGAUAGGUGAUUAGAAUUCAAUAAUAAUUAUAACGACAUUCAUCCUUAUUAC